RNAcentral lists this ribosomal RNA (407 nucleotides) under uncultured bacterium. Its description in RNAcentral is "partial 16S ribosomal RNA". It matches the Rfam family "Bacterial small subunit ribosomal RNA", at positions 28 to 526 of the family's 1533-position model. The record is from RNAcentral.
GACGAACGCUGGCGGCGUGCCUAAUACAUGCAAGUAGGACGCAGUUGCGAACGGGUGAGUAACGCGUAGGUAACUACCUAUUAGAGGGGGAUAACUAUUGGAAACGAUAGCUAAUACCGCAUACUAGUAGAUGGACCUGCGUUGUAUUAGCUAGUAGGGAGGGUAAUGGCCUACCUAGGCAACGAUACAUAGCCGACCGGAGGGGGUGUGCGGCCCACCCUGUACGGUGACCGGGCCCAGACUCCUACGGGAGGCAGCAGGAGGGAAGCUUCGGCGAGUGGUGGAACCCUAACCGAGCAGCGCCGCGGGAGUGAAGAAGGUUUUCGGGUCGUAAGGCUCUGUUGUUAAGAGAGCGUUACUUAGCCAGAAAGGGACGGCUAACUACGUGCCAGCAGCCGCGGUAAUUC